RNAcentral lists this ribosomal RNA (447 nucleotides) under uncultured bacterium. Its description in RNAcentral is "partial 16S ribosomal RNA". It matches the Rfam family "Bacterial small subunit ribosomal RNA", at positions 29 to 523 of the family's 1533-position model. The record is from RNAcentral.
AACGAACGCUGGCGGCAUGCCUAACACAUGCAAGUCGAACGAAGCCUUCGGGCUUAGUGGCGCACGGGUGCGUAACGCGUGGGAAUCUGCCCUUUGGUUCGGAAUAACAGUUGGAAACGACUGCUAAUACCGGAUGAUGACGAAAGUCCAAAGAUUUAUCGCCAGAGGAUGAACCCGGGUAGGAUUAGCUAGUUUGUGUGGUAAAGGCGCACCAAGGCGCCGAUCCUUAGCUGGUCUGAGAGGAUGAUCAGCCACACUGGGACUGAGACACGGCCCAGACUCCGACGGUAGGCAGCAGUGGGGAAUAUUGGACAAUGGGCGAAAGCCUGAUCCAACAAUGCCGCGAGUGAUGAAGGCCCUAGGGUUGUAAAGCUCUUUUACCCGGGAUGAUAAUGACAGUACCGGGAGAAUAAGCCCCGGCUAACUCCGUGCCAGCCGCCGCCGUAA